GGUCCGAUGGUGUAGUGGUUAUCACAUCUGCUUUACACGCAGUAGGUCCCCGGUUCGAACCCGGGUCGGACCG
Molecule: transfer RNA, 73 nt
Filed under: Opisthorchis viverrini
Lineage: Eukaryota; Metazoa; Platyhelminthes; Trematoda; Opisthorchiida; Opisthorchiidae
Rfam family: tRNA
About the family: Transfer RNA (tRNA) molecules are approximately 80 nucleotides in length. Their secondary structure includes four short double-helical elements and three loops (D, anti-codon, and T loops).
Source: Rfam by way of RNAcentral